RNAcentral lists this small nuclear RNA (105 nucleotides) under Vulpes vulpes (red fox). Lineage: Eukaryota; Metazoa; Chordata; Mammalia; Carnivora; Canidae. The record is from RNAcentral.
GUGCUUGCUUCAGCAGCACAUAUAUUAAAACUGGAGUGAUAGAGAAGAUUAGCACAGCCCCUGUAUAAGGAUGACUUUCAAAUUCAUAAGGUAUUCCACAUUUUU